GACGAACGCUGGCGGCGUGCUUGACACAUGCAAGUCGAACGGAAAGGCCUGCUUUCCCUUGUGGAUUGCGGGUACUCGAGUGGCGAACGGGUGAGUAACACGUGAGUGAUCUGCCCCCAACUUGGGUAUAAGCCUGGGAAACUGGGUCUAAUUCCCGAUCGGACUGCAGGGUGGUGCCUGUGGUGGAAAACGAUUUUCUAGUGGUUGGGGAUGAGCGCGCGGCCUAUCAGCUUGUUGGUGGGGUAAUGGCCUACCAAGGCGGGGACGGGAAGCCGGCCGGGGAGGGUGGACGGCGACAUGGGGACGGAGAUACGGCCCAGACUCCUACGAGAAGCAGCAGUGGGGAAGAGUGCGCAAGGGGCGGAAGCCUGAUGCAGCGACGCCGCGUGGGGGAUGACGGGCUUCGGGUUGUAAACUCCUUGCGACCGCGAGGAAGCCACCUGGUUGGAAGGGUGGUGACGGUAGUGGUAGAAGAAGCACCGGCUAACUACGUG
RNAcentral lists this ribosomal RNA (494 nucleotides) under uncultured bacterium. Its description in RNAcentral is "partial 16S ribosomal RNA". It matches the Rfam family "Bacterial small subunit ribosomal RNA", at positions 28 to 507 of the family's 1533-position model. The record is from RNAcentral.